CAAUAGCGUAUAUUAAAGUUGUUGCAGUUAGAACGCUCGUAGUCGGAUUUCGGGGCGGGCCGACCGGUCUGCCGAUGGGUAUGCACUGGUCGGCGCGUCCUUCCUUCCGGAGACCGUCCCUACUCUUAACUGAGCGGGGGCGGGAGACGGGACUUUUACUUUGAAAAAAUCAGAGUGCUUCAAGCAGGCAGCUCGCUCUUGCAUGGAUUAGCAUGGGAUAAUGAAAUAGGACUUUGGUGCUAUUUUGUUGGUUUCGAACACCGAAGUAAUGAUGAGAAGGGACAGUCAGGGGCACUCGUAUUCCGCCGAGAGAGGUGAAAUUCUCAGACCAGCGGAAGACGAACCACUGCGAAAGCAUUUGCCAGGGAUGUUUUCACUGA
Molecule: ribosomal RNA, 380 nt
Filed under: uncultured eukaryote
Lineage: Eukaryota
Description: partial 18S ribosomal RNA
Rfam family: Eukaryotic small subunit ribosomal RNA
Source: RNAcentral